Molecule: unclassified non-coding RNA, 240 nt
Filed under: Hevea brasiliensis (rubber tree)
Lineage: Eukaryota; Viridiplantae; Streptophyta; Magnoliopsida; Malpighiales; Euphorbiaceae
Source: RNAcentral
CAGCACGCGAAAAGCGGCUUCGCCGGAGAUGGUCGAUGAGCUUGUAUCGCGCGAUCGCAUGCACCCAAGGCGUGAGCAGGGUCUCGACGUCAUACGUAUGACGCUUGAGGUGGAUCGCGAGCANUUUCCUGCACCAGGUCUUCCGCCUCUUCGGCGCCGCCCCCGCUGCGGGCAAGAUGCCGCUUGUAGUAGCCGCGCAGGUGUCGGCUCAGCCUGUCGAGCAAGGCACCGUGCGCGCCC